This 244-nucleotide ribosomal RNA is filed under the name uncultured bacterium. RNAcentral describes it as "partial 16S ribosomal RNA". It matches the Rfam family "Bacterial small subunit ribosomal RNA", at positions 78 to 339 of the family's 1533-position model. The record is from RNAcentral.
UUCGGGGCACUAUGUUAGUGGCGCACGGGUGAGUAACACGUGGGAACGUACCCUUUAGUGCGGAAUAACCAAGGGAAACUUUGACUAAUACCGCAUACGCCCUUCGGGGGAAAGAUUUAUCGCUAAAGGAUCGGCCCGCGCCUGAUUAGGUAGUUGGUGGGGUAAAAGCCUACCAAGCCGACGAUCAGUAGCUGGUCUGAGAGGAUGAUCAGCCACACUGGGACUGAGACACGGCCCAGACUCC